GACGAACGCUGGCGGCGUGCUUAACACAUGCAAGUCGAACGCGAUUUUUGUGGAAAUUCUUUCGGGAAUGGAAAUGAAAUGAAAGUGGCGAACGGGUGAGUAACACGUGAGCAACCUACCUUACACAGGGGGAUAGCCGUUGGAAACGACGAUUAAUACCGCAUGAGACCACAGAAUCGCAUGAUAUAGGGGUCAAAGAUUUAUCGGUGUAAGAAGGGCUCGCGUCUGAUUAGCUAGUUGGAAGGGUAAAGGCCUACCAAGGCGACGAUCAGUAGCCGGUGUGAGAGGAUGAACGGCCACAUUGGAACUGAGACACGGUCCAAACUCCUACGGGAGGCAGCAGUGGGGAAUAUUGCACAAUGGGGGGAACCCUGACGCAGCGACGCCGCGUGAGCGAAGAAGGUUUUCGAAUCGUAAAGCUCUGUCCUAUGAGAAGAUAAUGACGGUAGCAUAGGAGGAAGCCCCGGCUAAAUACGUG
Molecule: ribosomal RNA, 478 nt
Filed under: uncultured bacterium
Lineage: Bacteria
Description: partial 16S ribosomal RNA
Rfam family: Bacterial small subunit ribosomal RNA
Source: RNAcentral